RNAcentral lists this unclassified non-coding RNA (219 nucleotides) under plant metagenome. RNAcentral describes it as "partial contains small subunit ribosomal RNA and internal transcribed spacer 1". The record is from RNAcentral.
AAGUUGUAACAAAGGUUUCUAUUAGGUAAACCUGUUAGAAAGAUUAUUACCUUUUCUAGCUAUUUAAUAGCUUAUCUAGGGGUCUGCAGUUUCUGCAGUUUCAUAACUACAUCUAUGUUUUUGCGUACUACAUGUUUCCUUAGCAGGCUUACUUGCUAGUUAGAUAAACUAAAACUCUUUGUAAUUACAAUUAGCGUCUGAAUUAUAUAAUAAUUACAA